GACGAACGCUGGCGGCGUGCUUAACACAUGCAAGUCGAACGGAAAGGCCCUGCUUUUGUGGGGUGCUCGAGUGGCGAACGGGUGAGUAACACGUGAGUAACCUGCCCUUUACUUUGGGAUAACUUCAGGAAACUGGGGCUAAUACCGGAUAGGAGCUCCUGCUGCAUGGUGGGGGUUGGAAAGUUUCGGCGGUUGGGGAUGGACUCGCGGCUUAUCAGCUUGUUGGUGGGGUAGUGGCUUACCAAGGCUUUGACGGGUAGCCGGCCUGAGAGGGUGACCGGCCACAUUGGGACUGAGAUACGGCCCAGACUACGAAGGGAGGCAGCAGUGGGGAAUAUUGCACAAUGGGCGGAAGCCUGAUGCAGCAAAGCAGCGUGCGGGAUGACGGCCUUCGGGUUGUAAACCGCUUUCGCCUGUGACGAAGCGUGAGUGACGGUAAUGGGUAAAGAAGCACCGGCUAACUACGUG
This 468-nucleotide ribosomal RNA is filed under the name uncultured bacterium. RNAcentral's name for it is "partial 16S ribosomal RNA". It matches the Rfam family "Bacterial small subunit ribosomal RNA", at positions 28 to 507 of the family's 1533-position model. The record is from RNAcentral.